Molecule: transfer RNA, 73 nt
Filed under: Archangium sp.
Lineage: Bacteria; Pseudomonadati; Myxococcota; Myxococcia; Myxococcales; Archangiaceae
Also listed under: 1 other name
Description: tRNA-Val
Rfam family: tRNA
About the family: Transfer RNA (tRNA) molecules are approximately 80 nucleotides in length.
Source: RNAcentral
GGGCGGAUAGCUCAGCUGGUAGAGCGUCGCCCUUACAAGGCGAGGGUCACAGGUUCGAGCCCUGUUCCGCCCA